This 645-nucleotide ribosomal RNA is filed under the name Burkholderia sp. UFLA4-54. RNAcentral describes it as "bacterial SSU rRNA". It matches the Rfam family "Bacterial small subunit ribosomal RNA", at positions 75 to 716 of the family's 1533-position model. Lineage: Bacteria; Pseudomonadati; Pseudomonadota; Betaproteobacteria; Burkholderiales; Burkholderiaceae. The record is from RNAcentral.
GGGGGCAACCCUGGUGGCGAGUGGCGAACGGGUGAGUAAUACAUCGGAACGUGUCCUGUAGUGGGGGAUAGCCCGGCGAAAGCCGGAUUAAUACCGCAUACGCUCUACGGAGGAAAGGGGGGGAUCUUAGGACCUCCCGCUACAGGGGCGGCCGAUGGCAGAUUAGCUAGUUGGUGGGGUAAAGGCCUACCAAGGCGACGAUCUGUAGCUGGUCUGAGAGGACGACCAGCCACACUGGGACUGAGACACGGCCCAGACUCCUACGGGAGGCAGCAGUGGGGAAUUUUGGACAAUGGGGGCAACCCUGAUCCAGCAAUGCCGCGUGUGUGAAGAAGGCCUUCGGGUUGUAAAGCACUUUUGUCCGGAAAGAAAACGCCGUGGUUAAUACCCGUGGCGGAUGACGGUACCGGAAGAAUAAGCACCGGCUAACUACGUGCCAGCAGCCGCGGUAAUACGUAGGGUGCAAGCGUUAAUCGGAAUUACUGGGCGUAAAGCGUGCGCAGGCGGUCCGCUAAGACAGAUGUGAAAUCCCCGGGCUUAACCUGGGAACUGCAUUUGUGACUGGCGGGCUAGAGUAUGGCAGAGGGGGGUAGAAUUCCACGUGUAGCAGUGAAAUGCGUAGAGAUGUGGAGGAAUACCGAUGGC